UGGGUUAGUGGCGGACGGGUGAGUAACGCGUGGGUAACCUGCCUUACACAGGGGGAUAACACUUAGAAAUAGGUGCUAAAACCGCAUAAGCGCACAGCUUCGCAUGAAGCGGUGUGAAAAACUACCGGUGGUGUAAGAUGGACCCGCGUCUGAUUAGCUUGUUGGCGGGGUAACGGCCCACCAAGGCGACGAUCAGUAGCCGGCCUGAGAGGGCGGACGGCCACAUUGGGACUGAGACACGGCCCAGACUCCUACGGAAGGCAGCAG
This 267-nucleotide ribosomal RNA is filed under the name uncultured bacterium. Its description in RNAcentral is "partial 16S ribosomal RNA". It matches the Rfam family "Bacterial small subunit ribosomal RNA", at positions 88 to 354 of the family's 1533-position model. The record is from RNAcentral.